This 31-nucleotide non-coding RNA is filed under the name Rattus norvegicus (Norway rat). The record is from RNAcentral. Lineage: Eukaryota; Metazoa; Chordata; Mammalia; Rodentia; Muridae.
UACGAGUAGUGUACAUAUGUGACUUGCUGGU